This 1552-nucleotide ribosomal RNA is filed under the name Staphylococcus aureus. RNAcentral's name for it is "16S ribosomal RNA". It matches the Rfam family "Bacterial small subunit ribosomal RNA". Lineage: Bacteria; Bacillati; Bacillota; Bacilli; Caryophanales; Staphylococcaceae. The record is from RNAcentral.
UUUAUGGAGAGUUUGAUCCUGGCUCAGGAUGAACGCUGGCGGCGUGCCUAAUACAUGCAAGUCGAGCGAACGGACGAGAAGCUUGCUUCUCUGAUGUUAGCGGCGGACGGGUGAGUAACACGUGGAUAACCUACCUAUAAGACUGGGAUAACUUCGGGAAACCGGAGCUAAUACCGGAUAAUAUUUUGAACCGCAUGGUUCAAAAGUGAAAGACGGUCUUGCUGUCACUUAUAGAUGGAUCCGCGCUGCAUUAGCUAGUUGGUAAGGUAACGGCUUACCAAGGCAACGAUGCAUAGCCGACCUGAGAGGGUGAUCGGCCACACUGGAACUGAGACACGGUCCAGACUCCUACGGGAGGCAGCAGUAGGGAAUCUUCCGCAAUGGGCGAAAGCCUGACGGAGCAACGCCGCGUGAGUGAUGAAGGUCUUCGGAUCGUAAAACUCUGUUAUUAGGGAAGAACAUAUGUGUAAGUAACUGUGCACAUCUUGACGGUACCUAAUCAGAAAGCCACGGCUAACUACGUGCCAGCAGCCGCGGUAAUACGUAGGUGGCAAGCGUUAUCCGGAAUUAUUGGGCGUAAAGCGCGCGUAGGCGGUUUUUUAAGUCUGAUGUGAAAGCCCACGGCUCAACCGUGGAGGGUCAUUGGAAACUGGAAAACUUGAGUGCAGAAGAGGAAAGUGGAAUUCCAUGUGUAGCGGUGAAAUGCGCAGAGAUAUGGAGGAACACCAGUGGCGAAGGCGACUUUCUGGUCUGUAACUGACGCUGAUGUGCGAAAGCGUGGGAUCAAACAGGAUUAGAUACCCUGGUAGUCCACGCCGUAAACGAUGAGUGCUAAGUGUUAGGGGGUUUCCGCCCCUUAGUGCUGCAGCUAACGCAUUAAGCACUCCGCCUGGGGAGUACGACCGCAAGGUUGAAACUCAAAGGAAUUGACGGGGACCCGCACAAGCGGUGGAGCAUGUGGUUUAAUUCGAAGCAACGCGAAGAACCUUACCAAAUCUUGACAUCCUUUGACAACUCUAGAGAUAGAGCCUUCCUCUUCGGGGACAAAGUGACAGGUGGUGCAUGGUUGUCGUCAGCUCGUGUCGUGAGAUGUUGGGUUAAGUCCCGCAACGAGCGCAACCCUUAAGCUUAGUUGCCAUCAUUAAGUUGGGCACUCUAAGUUGACUGCCGGUGACAAACCGGAGGAAGGUGGGGAUGACGUCAAAUCAUCAUGCCCCUUAUGAUUUGGGCUACACACGUGCUACAAUGGACAAUACAAAGGGCAGCGAAACCGCGAGGUCAAGCAAAUCCCAUAAAGUUGUUCUCAGUUCGGAUUGUAGUCUGCAACUCGACUACAUGAAGCUGGAAUCGCUAGUAAUCGUAGAUCAGCAUGCUACGGUGAAUACGUUCCCGGGUCUUGUACACACCGCCCGUCACACCACGAGAGUUUGUAACACCCGAAGCCGGUGGAGUAACCUUUUAGGAGCUAGCCGUCGAAGGUGGGACAAAUGAUUGGGGUGAAGUCGUAACAAGGUAGCCGUAUCGGAAGGUGCGGCUGGAUCACCUCCUUUCU